Molecule: unclassified non-coding RNA, 86 nt
Filed under: Pseudomonas chlororaphis
Lineage: Bacteria; Pseudomonadati; Pseudomonadota; Gammaproteobacteria; Pseudomonadales; Pseudomonadaceae
Source: RNAcentral
UAGGAGCGAAGCUGGCUCGCGAUAGCGGUUGUCCGGUCGACACCUGCUGUCCGGUCUGACGCCAUCGCGAGCCAGCUUCGCUCCUA